UAAACAACUUGGCUGAAUCCUGAUUUUUUAAGGAGCGGGGGAUUUUUUCCGGGGUGAAUAGGAUUAAGCAAUGCAGCUUUUCCUUAGGGCAUGCUCUUUGUCCGAAUCCGUCAACUAACCUCGUAAGCCGGAAGAGGAGAGCA
RNAcentral lists this small RNA (143 nucleotides) under Clostridia bacterium. RNAcentral's name for it is "c-di-AMP sequence". It matches the Rfam family "c-di-AMP riboswitch aptamer (ydaO/yuaA leader)". Rfam says of the family: This family represents a conserved RNA structure found upstream of the ydaO and yuaA genes in Bacillus subtilis and related genes in other bacteria. The ydaO/yuaA element is thought to act as a genetic "off" switch for the ydaO and yuaA genes in its native state. Lineage: Bacteria; Bacillati; Bacillota; Clostridia. The record is from RNAcentral.